Molecule: long non-coding RNA, 456 nt
Organism: Pygocentrus nattereri (red-bellied piranha)
Lineage: Eukaryota; Metazoa; Chordata; Actinopteri; Characiformes; Serrasalmidae
Exons: 3
Source: RefSeq, a predicted model, not a curated record
CAGUUAAGGUCUGCCCUUGUCACUGGGAGGUACCGAGUACAGGGAUUAGUUGGCGGCUGGGUCAUGAAGAAACUUCAGGGUUUCCUCAAAGCAGUCUAACCUGGGAAAGCAAUACAGAGCCACAAGACAAGAGAGGAAGUGAGAGAUGGCGGCGGUAGAAAGACUCACUGAGGAAGAAACCAUGAGAGCAGAAUGAAAAGAAGCACAUGUUCAUCUCUAUGGCUUUGCUGUGCUUGUCUGGACCACAGAACAUCUCACAAGCUGGGGCUGUGCUGUGCGUUCCAUUCCCAGACUGAGAGAAUUUCAAAAGCUGCCGGACACAAAGAGGACUAUGGGAACUUUGCCCGCUCAGUCAAUCAGACAGACACCCCAUAGUGACCAAACGCGGGGAUGUUGUUUCCUUUGAAGCUUUCAAACACGUCUCUUUUUUCCCUCAUAUGAUAACCAUGUAAAUAA